RNAcentral lists this ribosomal RNA (465 nucleotides) under uncultured bacterium. Its description in RNAcentral is "partial 16S ribosomal RNA". It matches the Rfam family "Bacterial small subunit ribosomal RNA", at positions 338 to 795 of the family's 1533-position model. The record is from RNAcentral.
CCUACGGGAGACAGCAGUGGGGAAUAUUGCGCAAUGGGCGAAAGCCUGACGCAGCGACGCCGCGUGAGGGAUGAAGGUCUUCGGAUCGUAAACCUCUGUCAGCAGGGAAGAACGGUCACUGUGCUAAUCAGCAGUGAAUUGACGGUACCUGCAAAGGAAGCACCGGCUAACUCCGUGCCAGCAGCCGCGGUAAUACGGAGGGUGCGAGCGUUAAUCGGAAUUACUGGGCGUAAAGCGCUCGUAGGCGGUAUGUCAAGUCAAGGGUGAAAUCCCCGCGCUCAACGUGGGAACUGCCUUUGAAACGGGCAAACUGGAGUGUGUGAGAGGAUAGUGGAAUUCCAGGUGUAGGAGUGAAAGCCGUAGAUAUCUGGAGGAACAUCAGUGGCGAAGGCGACUAUCUGGCACAUAACUGACGCUGAGGAGCGAAAGCGUGGGUAGCAAACAGGAUUAGAUACCCUAGUAGUC